RNAcentral lists this ribosomal RNA (496 nucleotides) under uncultured bacterium. RNAcentral's name for it is "partial 16S ribosomal RNA". It matches the Rfam family "Bacterial small subunit ribosomal RNA", at positions 28 to 506 of the family's 1533-position model. The record is from RNAcentral.
GAUGAACGCUGGCGGCGUGCCUAAUACAUGCAAGUCGAGCGAACAGACGAGGAGCUUGCUCCUCUGACGUUAGCGGCGGACGGGUGAGUAACACGUGGAUAACCUACCUAUAAGACUGGGAUAACUUCGGGAAACCGGAGCUAAUACCGGAUAAUAUAUUGAACCGCAUGGUUCAAUAGUGAAAGACGGUUUUGCUGUCACUUAUAGAUGGAUCCGCGCCGCAUUAGCUAGUUGGUAAGGUAACGGCUUACCAAGGCAACGAUGCGUAGCCGACCUGAGAGGGUGAUCGGCCCCACUGGAGCUGAGACGCGGUCCAGACUCCUACGGGAGGCAGCAGUAGGGAAUCUUCCGCGAAGGGCGAAAGCCUGACGGAGCAACGCCGCGUGAGUGAUGAAGGUCUUCGGAUCGUAAAACUCUGUUAUUAGGGAAGAACAAAUGUGUAAGUAACUAUGCACGUCUUGACGGUACCUAAUCAGAAAGCCACGGCUAACUACGU